Molecule: transfer RNA, 72 nt
Filed under: Kluyveromyces marxianus
Lineage: Eukaryota; Fungi; Ascomycota; Saccharomycetes; Saccharomycetales; Saccharomycetaceae
Description: tRNA-Pro
Rfam family: tRNA
About the family: Transfer RNA (tRNA) molecules are approximately 80 nucleotides in length. Their secondary structure includes four short double-helical elements and three loops (D, anti-codon, and T loops).
Source: RNAcentral
GGGCGUGUGGUCUAGUGGUAUGAUUCACGCUUUGGGUGCGAGAGGCCCUGGGUUCAAUUCCCAGCUCGCCCC